CUUUCUGCCCAUGCGCACGUGUGUGGAGCCGGGCGCUGGACUAUGACGUCACGCGUCCCCACGUCUAUAUUUCAGCAAUGGGCGGGGCUCCAAGUGUCCACGCUCUGAGGAGAGUUGGCGACAGGUCCUAGGCCGUGAGUUAACACUGGGGAUUUGGACCCAGGACUUUGUCCUGUGUGACAGCCAAGCACUCUACUACUGAGCUACACUCCCUGCCCAACCUCAAGUACUUCGUUAAUGUCUUCAGAAGCUUCCUGCUAUUUGGCUUCUGAUGCUCACACUUAAAGGAUGAAGUGCUAUCCUAAAGCAGAAAACAGCAAGAACAACAGCAAAACAACCAAAGAUUGGCCUGCUUUGGAAUAUCAAAUACCUCCUCUUUGGAGGGGAAGGAAGAUGAAAGCAAUGACAUCCACACUCCCCCAGAGCAUCUCCCCAGCACAGCCUGAGCUCUUGCAAUGGGGUUUUGUCGGGAGAGCUCAUCACCUGGAGUGGUCAGGAGGGCUCAGUCACUGUGCGGUCACUGGGGGAGAAGACCUCGUGGCUUCAGCCUAGCCUGCUGAGGAAGCUCUUGGAGUCAGGGUGUCAGAGGGCUGAGACCCCACAGGAAGUGCAGAGCCGGAUGGGAAGGAGAGGUGACCACAUCCUGCAUUUCUCUGUGGUUCCCCCAGGAACCAGUAACACAGCCUGGAGGCUCAGCAGAGGAAAACCAAGAAGCCAAAUGAAAACCACAAUGAAAUACUCCUUCAUAUCCGCCAGCAUUGCUAUCAUGAAAAGAAAGAUAAUAACAAGUGCUGGUGAAGAUGUGGGGAAAUAGGAGCCCUCAGGCACUGUUGGUGGAUAGCUGCUUUGCACAGUAAUCUAGCAUUCCCAAAAGGUUAAAUAGAGACUUGUCUUUCAACACAGCAAUUCCACUUUUAGGUGCAUACCCAAAAGAAAUGGAAAUUUUGGUCCACAUGAAAACCUGUCCCUUAAUGUUUGGAGCAGCAUUAGGCAUAAUGACCAAAAAAUGAAAAGUACCCAACAGUUCUGCUGUUAAGAUUGAGAAGUUUUUGUGGUGUCUGAA
Molecule: long non-coding RNA, 1063 nt
Filed under: Heterocephalus glaber (naked mole-rat)
Lineage: Eukaryota; Metazoa; Chordata; Mammalia; Rodentia; Bathyergidae
Description: lncRNA (ENSHGLG00000037443.1)
Source: RNAcentral